AGAUGAUAAUCGAACGUAUGCCCAGGUUAACUGUCACAAUAAAGGCAAAGCCAAGAAACACAAAGGAAAAUCAACUCCUGCAGCAACUGAUGAAGCUGUUUAUUCUGAAGUUGAACCAGGAACAUCUCUUGGUCUGUAAAGACAGCUAUAUGGACAAGGCCAAAUAAAUAUGGUUAACAGCAUUUUAUAUAACCAUUGUGUGCAACUCUGCUAUCCAAAUAUCAGCGAUGCUCAAUGUUUUGUACAGUUAAUUUAAUAGCAGAUGAUAUAAAAUAAUUACAUCAUGUGGAUUUAAUACUCUCUUUUUUAGCAGAAAGUACAAGACUACUGAGGUUUAUUCCCAUUUAGUAUUUAUGCACUGUAGUAUUAUUAUUUUUAUUUUUACAGUUAUUUUGUCACUUAAUUUUAAAAACUUUGAUUGCAGGCUUAUUCAAAAAGCAGCAGGAGGUAUCAGUUUGAAAUGUUUAAAUGACAUUACCCAGGUGGUAGUGCAGCUUUAAAGUCAGCAUAUUUUUCAGUGUUAGAUGAAAAAGCUCCAGGAUGGACGUCAACAAUUACUUUUAUAUACGUAAUGAACUGCUAUCAACUAUUACAUGUAACUCUUGCUGUUAUUAUACUGGAAAGUUUUCCUGUCUAUUUACAAAUGAAUUUACCAGUGCUUUAUGUACUUUAUUUUUGUUA
This is a long non-coding RNA of Thunnus maccoyii (southern bluefin tuna), 681 nucleotides long. RefSeq lists it as uncharacterized. NCBI's taxonomy places the organism in Eukaryota, Metazoa, Chordata, Actinopteri, Scombriformes, Scombridae. The transcript has 3 exons. The record is from RefSeq and is a predicted model, not a curated record.